UAGUCCACGCCGUAAACGAUGGUUACUAGCUGUUUGGACUUCGGUCUGAGUGGCUAAGCGAAAGUGAUAAGUAACCCACCUGGGGAGUACGAUCGCAAGAUUGAAACUCAAAGGAAUUGACGGGGGCCCGCACAAGCGGUGGAGCAUGUGGUUUAAUUCGAUGAUACGCGAGGAACCUUACCAGGGCUUAAAUGUAGAGUGACAGCUUUAGAGAUAGAGUUUUCUUCGGACACUUUACAAGGUGCUGCAUGGUUGUCGUCAGCUCGUGCCGUGAGGUGUCAGGUUAAGUCCUAUAACGAGCGCAACCCCUGUUGUUAGUUACCAGCACGUGAUGGUGGGGACUCUAACAAGACUGCCGGUGCAAACCGUGAGGAAGGUGGGGAUGACGUCAAAUCAUCACGGCCCUUACGUCCUGGGCUACACACGUGCUACAAUGGUAGUGACAGUGAGUUAAUCUCCAAAAACUAUCUCAGUUCGGAUUGUCGUCUGCAACUCGACGGCAUGAAGUCGGAA
RNAcentral lists this ribosomal RNA (513 nucleotides) under uncultured bacterium. RNAcentral's name for it is "bacterial SSU rRNA". It matches the Rfam family "Bacterial small subunit ribosomal RNA", at positions 791 to 1331 of the family's 1533-position model. The record is from RNAcentral.